Molecule: long non-coding RNA, 789 nt
Organism: Anas platyrhynchos (mallard)
Lineage: Eukaryota; Metazoa; Chordata; Aves; Anseriformes; Anatidae
Source: RefSeq, a predicted model, not a curated record
UCACGGGUCCCCCCUCAGCGCCUGGAGGGGGGGGGGGGGGGGUUGUACCCCUGAGCCCACCGCCAGUUCUGUACGAGUUACUCUCUCCGAGUUCAAACGUGGUUAAAAUCACUUAAAAAAAAAAAAAAAUCACUUUUUUUUUUUUUUUUUUUUUCACGGGUUGGAGGUGAAAAUGAGGCGUGUUAGCAUAAGGAGAAGUAAGAAAAUGGGAAUUAAAUGAGGUGAGACUCGAGUGCCGCUGCAGCUGGCAACGUGCCCUCUUCGGGCGAAGAUUUUCGUCAGAAGGAUUCUUCACGAGGUUUUAGGCCGGGUAUUUAACGGGCUUAAUAGCACAUUAGGAGAUAACUUGAUUCCGUCUGCUGCUUGUUUUUUUUUUUUUUUUUGUCUUUAACAGCAUCCAAAAUUUAAGUAGUGAAACUCGAUUUGCAGCGAGCGAAUGUGCUGUAAAAGCGGUGAUGUUCUGGAUCAGUCAGUGCUGCCAGGCGGGGGCAAGCAGAAGUUCGCCGCAGCCCCCAGCUCUGACGGAUGGAGAUUUCAGCCAGGACAUCUGCACAUGUAGACCCCUGUAAGUCAGAACUCUGCACCAAGCACUUCCUUGUGAAGACUGAACCUUUGAGCCAGCGUUUGCCGUUCAGCCCUUGCCAAAGUGCUUUCUGACUGGAGAGGGGUCCUGGAGAAGAGUACCAUGCUCUGGCGUUGUUGGGCAGCUUUCAACAGGAAUCUUAGAAGCAGCAGCGAAUGCGUUUCACGUCCUGUGUGAUGGCAUUAAAAAAUCUAUGAGAAACGCCA